CAGUAGCCGCGGUAAUACGUAGGGUGCGAGCGUUAAUCGGAAUUACUGGGCGUAAAGCGUGCGCAGGCGGUUGUGUAAGACAGGUGUGAAAUCCCCGGGCUUAACCUGGGAACUGCGCUUGUGACUGCACAGCUAGAGUAUGGCAGAGGGGGGUGGAAUUCCACGUGUAGCAGUGAAAUGCGUAGAGAUGUGGAGGAACACCGGUGGCGAAGGCAGCCCCCUGGGCCAAUACUGACGCUCAUGCACGAAAGCGUGUGGAGCAAACAGGAUUAGAUACCCGGGUAGUCCCUGUCUCUUAUAC
This 301-nucleotide ribosomal RNA is filed under the name uncultured bacterium. Its description in RNAcentral is "partial 16S ribosomal RNA". It matches the Rfam family "Bacterial small subunit ribosomal RNA", at positions 509 to 807 of the family's 1533-position model. The record is from RNAcentral.